RNAcentral lists this unclassified non-coding RNA (8134 nucleotides) under Drosophila yakuba. RNAcentral describes it as "GE20778". Lineage: Eukaryota; Metazoa; Arthropoda; Insecta; Diptera; Drosophilidae. The record is from RNAcentral.
AGGGAAAUAAUAGUUUACCAAAGAGUAUACAAAGUAAAUACAAUAAAGUAAAAUGGAAUAAAAUAGGGGAAUGCAGAGAGAGAGUGUCGUAGAAAUUUGUCGCACGCGCGCGAUUUCAGUAAGUGCAUCUAAUUUAUUUUGCAUCCAUUGCAAUUGAGAGUCGGCAUCCGGCAGAUACGUUUUCGUAAUUGUCAUCAGCGGUUCGAGUUCCUCCGCUUCGACCUCUCGCGCGAGUGUUUGCCAGAUUGGAUUACCAUAACCCAGGCCAUACCAAAAUAAAUUAUACACCAUUUUUUGAAAGGGUGAUAAACAGGGUGAUAUUGUGACCGAAUUCUGAUCAGAGCUGCGAUCGAGGAUCGCUUGCCAAAAGCAACGUAAUGUCGUCCUACCGCAGUUAUACACCCUGGAAAACGAGCUUGGGCAGUUCCUACAAGCCUGGCAGCUCUUCGUAUGGCACCUCCGGAGACUCCACAUCGCGCUACACUUCACUGGCCACCCCGAGCUCCUACAGACCAUCGUUCUCUGGAGGAACGUACCGCCUCAAAAGAGACCCACCACCAUCAGCCACCACAACUCCAGUCAGCGGCUAUGUGAGUCGUUAUGCAAAGACAGAGCCCAAAGAGGCAGCUCCAAGUGAGCGGAGUAGCCCGGUUAAGAGGUAUACGGGUAAUACUACCAGUUCCCUCGGCAAAUAUGGACGGUCUCGAGAUCCCAGUCCAGUGGCCUUGGAGCACACUAGUCGCACAAAGUCGCGGGAUCCGAGUCCAGUUAUUGACAGUGCCAGAAGUAAAUUGGGAAGCACAUACCGUGGAGGUAACACACCCACCACGUCCAGUUCAUCCUCCUCGGCCACCAGGAAUGCGUACAGCAGUCGCUAUGGAGCAGGUUCUCGGAUCUCGGGAAAUGGAAGUGCCCUAUCUUACUUGACUACCAGUGAUUUCCAUGCCAGAACUGCCAGCAGGGCCAAGGCCAGCAGGGAAAGGGAGCGGGAGAAGGAGAAGGAAAAGGAGCUGGAGGUAGAGGAGAAACCUAGUGAGGCAUCUAAUGGCAUGGAUAAGACUCCUGCAAAGCAGCAGGAAGAACAACCAGAAAAUGUUGAAGAAUCAAAUGAAACUUUCAUCACCAUAUCCGUAGUGACUAGAGCCACUUCACCCACUCUGCCGGGCAGCACCACCGUACAACGCACUCGUCGCAUUGAUCCAGCCAAAACAAUAGAGAAGACCAUCCAAAGAUCCACCAAAAGGCGUGAGACAACUGACCAGGAGAUUCAGUCGGACAGAUUGGAUGACUCUACCCGAUAUCUUCGAUACAGUGGCGGCAGCAGCAUAAGCUCUACUUAUAGUCCACACAGAGAUAGGAUCAGCAGUCUGCGGUACAGUGCCAGUCCCUUGAGCAGUUCAGGAUCGGCAAAGUCCAGUGCGGCGGGUGAGGGAAAGCAGAUUCAGCCCAUCCCAGAGACUGUUUCCCCAGCUAGGACCAAUGGCUCUGUGAGCUCAGCCAAGUCCUCAGAAGCGCUAUCCCCUCCGAGAACCAAUGGCACUGUGAGCUCAGGGAAAUCAUCUGAAGCUCUAUCGCCACCCAGAAGUAAUGGGUGCAUAAGCUCAUCCAAGUCAAUAGAAGCUGUAUCCACACCCAAAACAAAUGGCUCUCUGAGCUCUUCGAAGUCCGCCAAGUCCAAACUUUCACCACCGAAGGCAGUACGCUUGAACUCGCGACAAUCAUCAGUGGAGAAUCUAGUAAACAAACCACCUGCCCCUCCCAGCAAGGCGGACUCACCCACCAAGACUUGCAGCUCCAGUUCGGGCAGUUCGGCGGUUAAAUGGCCCAACAAGGACUUCCGCAAAUCCUCGCUAAAUGUGGGACCCACGGAUCGUCCGCGAAAGUCUCGAACUCCUAGCAGUGGCGGAGAGUCCGAGGAUCUACCCAAUGGCAGUAGCCUUGAAAGGUCACCAAGUGCCGGGUCCGAGGGAAGUCUAGCAUCGGGCAGUUCCUCGAAGAAAUCGAGCAAGCUGAGCAAUGGCAAGGUGCCAGGCAGUCCGCGGGUAAAGAGUCACAAAUCCUGCAGCGAAACCACCACUGGCAACUCAUCCUCGGCCACCGCCUCCGCAUCGGACAGUGAGCAGCAGGUCAAGAGCGUAAAAAAGCAGGCCAAAAAGAAGAGCACCAACAAAGAGGGCGGUGCUGGCAAGGUCGCCAACGCCCACAAGGCAAAUAGCACCACUGAAUCACCGCCAGCCGUGGCUGAGGUGGUGCCAGCGACACAGACAAGACUGAAGAAGCUAUCGGCGGUGUCGAAUUUUUUCGCCAGCCGUCAGCAAGACGCAAAUAACGAACCGAUCUUCCUCGAAAGCUCUGAGAGUUCGGGCGAACCGGAGGCCCAUUCGUUGCCAGUGAUCUCGGCCAUAUCGGGCACCUCAAAGAUCUCGAAAAUCUCUGGGAUCAGUCUGACCACAGAUUUGCGAACGAACGAACCGCGAACGACGCCGUCGAGCGAAGCGAAACCCUUAACCCCAACGAAUUCCCCAAGUUCGAGCACACGUUGCCCGCGGGAAACCACAACGGAAACGGGCACAAGAUUACCCAGCAGCACCACCAGCACCACCCAGGAGACGAGUCUUACGACCACUGCCAGUUUGACCACCUCCGAGCAGGACGAUCCCAGCUGGUGGCAGGAUACUAGCUUGCAGAUAAACACGGCUUCUGCUUUGGAUCAAAAUAAUAGAGGAGAGAUGCCCUCUUACAGGCUGAGACACAUUGACUCUGGAGAGGAGCAGGCCUGGUGGCUCCGCCAGGAUGAAAAUGGCGAUGAUGAUGACACACUGGCAGAGGAGACCCUCAAUACUCUGGAUGAUGAUCUGCAAGAGCCGAGCAAAGGCACCUGGUGGAGUCAUGACGAUCAGGACUCUAGCAGUCAGGUGAAGCUGAUGCCCAGGAGUAGGAUAACGCCGGAAAAGGAUGCCUGGUGGCUGCAGGACGAGGACGAAGCUCAGGAUUCUCCCACAGAAAAUGGUGAUCUGAAUAACAACAACAACACUGAGCCCCAUGUGGAGGUGACACUAAGAUUGCCAUCGAAUGGCAGCCAGAGAAGCAGCAAAAGUAGUGGUUCCAAGAAUGGAAGCAAUCCGAAGAAUGGUGGCUCCAAUCCUUGGUGGCUAUCCGGACCAGCCAGAAAGAUGUUCAAUGUGCAGCGCGUUGAGUCGGGCGAAAGAGCCUGGUGGCAGGAGGAAGCCGAGGAGCCACCGCAAUUGGAAAAAGAGAACGAACCACCACCGGUGAAGCCACCCACUCCGCCACCGCGCAUCAUCAAGCACUGGGAGUCCGGGGAGCGGGCCUGGUGGUUACAGGAGGAUACGGAAACCACCCAUCUCCCUGCUCAGGCCAGCAGCAAUGAUGAGGAGCAGCCAGUAAUGGUGGUGAUUAAUCAGCAGGAGUCUAGGGAUGAAGUGGAUCUGAGGCUGGCACCACCCACCUUCGAAUCCCAGGAGCUGAGCAACUCCUUCGAUUUCAACGCCUAUUCCGAGCGACCUCCUCCACUGGGCCAAUGUGCCAGUCCCAUCCGCUGUCCCUCGCCCUACGACAACAUUCCAAGAUCGCAGCUGCAGGAGCCACCACCACUCCCUCCCACUCGCACAUCCCUGCAACCGCGCUUUUCACCCCAAACACGACGAGCCGGCGAAAAGCUCUUCAUUUCGCGGCAUCAGAACAUCGAUGAGCUGCUGGGCGGUGCUUGUCGCCCCCUCAGUCCGCUCUUCUAUGGGAACACCAAUCCUGCGGAGGCCGAGCUGACUCCUCUGGCCGGCAAGAACAUGUUUCUGCUCGAGGAGGUGACACCUGACCAGGUGCGAAUCCACGACAGCACCGCCCAGCUGCCGGUCAUCCAGAGAAUGCAGCGCGACGUCGAGUGGUUGGAGAACGGCAGCAACUUUUACGAGCCACCCAAACAACAACAACACCAGCCGCCGCGCAGGAUCGACGAUGCAGCCAUUCAGGUGUACAAGGAUGGCGACUACGGAGCCUACUUGGAUCUGGAGUCAUCGCUGGCCGAGCAGACUGAGGAAAUCGAGGGAGUCAACGUCAGCCGCAAGAACUCGCUGGUGGUGCGAACGCAGUUAAAUGUGCGCGUGCAUGCCAUAAUUGAGAAACUGCUCUCCGCACAGGGCAGUGACCUGCGGCGUGCUCUCUUCUCGCUGAAGCAGGUGUUCCAGGAGGAUAAGGAUCUGGUGCACGCCUUCGUGGCCCUCGGCGGCCUCAAUUGCUUGGUGCGCGUGGGCAAUUGUGCGGAUCAAAACUAUCAGAAUUACAUUCUGCGAGCCCUCGGCCAGGUCAUGCUCUAUGUGGAUGGAAUGAACGGCGUGAUGAAGCAUGAGCCGACGAUGCAGUGGCUCUACUCGCUGAUUGCCUCCAAUUACCGAUCCGUGGUGAAGACCGCCCUCAAGUUGUUGCUGGUCUUCGUGGAGUACGCCGAGUCCAACUGCUAUGUGCUGGUCAGUGCCAUUCACGCGGUGGACGCUUCCCAGGGCACACUGCCGUGGUCAAACAUAAUGAGACUGCUUAAGGACUAUGACAAUGCUGAUGCCGAGCUGGUCAUCUAUGCCACGUCGCUGAUAAACAAAACCCUGGCGGGUCUGAAUGAUCAGGACAGCUUCUACGACGAAAGCGAUCUCCUAGAGCAGCAGGGCAUGGAGACUGUGAUCCAGCGUUAUAUGUCCAAGCCGGGCACUGAUUUGGAUCUGCUCGAUCAGUUGCAACUGUACGAGGCUGUGCUGAAAUUUGAGGAUGGCGAGUCGGAUGGACAGCGUUUGCCGCAGAACUCAAUGCGAAAAACUCAACGCUAUCGUCCGGGAACAAAUACCACUGAACGGCGCAAGUCGCGUCGCCACAGCACAGAUAAUAGUCCCGCACCACUCACAAAGGUCCUGCCCACCACUGUGCUCCGCAUGACACCCACACCAGCCACCGUGGAUGAGGAUAGUUCCGGCUCCACCAAUUCUACAGAAUUUAGCGGAGGUCUCUUCACUGAGAAGAAACCUCGCGAUGGUGCGGGCGUGACUCCAGGACUGCGAAGAAGACGGGAGCGGGCGGAGCGGCACAAGAGCUUCCUGAAGGAGCAGCAGGAGGCGGCGGCCAAUGGAAUCUUUGCUGCUCUCGAGCAGCGUGAGGGACUGGGCCAAAUUGUAACCGCCAUACCCGCCACCAUUCAAACCGGCGACAGUCCGCCUCAGUCCUUGCAACAUGAGGUGCCACCGUGCAACAACAUCAGCGGCAUCACCAACAUUAGCAACAACAAUGUUAGCAACCUUAGCUGCAAUGACACGCCGAACAACAGCCUUCUGGUGAUGAGUCCUAGCAAGCAAUUGCUCACUGGAAGCCACAGCAUCUCGAUCAUAAACAACAGCUUCGAUAAGGCGAGCAAUAACAAUCAGAGCGAGUUCCUCACCAAGAAGAACCUAUUCCGGGAACGCAAUUCAACUGUGAUCAAUGGUAUUAUGAAGAAUAUCCAGCAAACCGAUAGUGCCUAUAAGAAGUACGAGAACGAAGCGAACCGGCUGAACAACUACUACAGCCAGUCGCCGAAACAUCAGAGCCAUCAGCCGAUUCAGCCAACGCCGGAGGUCCUUUUGAGUCCCAAGAAAACGCUGAAUGCUUCUGGCUUUGACUUCACGCCCGCUCCCCUCAGCUCCACACCGGUUAAGUGUGAUGUUCUGCCGGAACCGGAGCCACUGAGUCCGGUGAAGAAACCCGUUGCGGCCCCACCACCGCCUCCUCCACCGCCACCGCCGCCACCACCGCCCCCUGGCUGGUGGCACGCCCCCAUCUACAACAGCCCGCCAGCUCGUACCCUAACCAGUACUAACCCAGAGCUGCUGCCGCAUCCCGUGGAUCCUACAGAUAUGGAGAGCGAGGACAAGCAGCUGCUGCUCCAACUGAAGCGGGACCACACGGUCAAGGAUCUCACCCAGAAGCUGAGCAACCUGCCCAUGAGUCCCACGCAGGAGUCCGCGAAUCGCGCCCUCGUCGGCGACAUGUCCGGUUUGAUUUCGAAAGCCAAAGAGGGUCUGGCCAAGAGCAAGAGCAAGGGCGAGAUAUCCAGAUCUUCCAGUGUCGAUCAGGAUAUAAAGAAGUCUGAGCCCAAGAAGUCGGAGAACGAACUGCACUGGGAGGAGUUGGUUAGGAAUAUGACAAGGCCCCUGAAUCUUUGCGAUCUGGACUUUACGGACCUCAGGGAUGACGACGAGAAGGAUGUGCUGGCCCCUCGAAGUUUGGGUGCAGGUAUACCACCGCCGCCACCCCCACUGGGUGGAGCCAUUGCCCCACCGCCCAUGAUGCCACCCAGCCUGGCACCUCCACCCAUGUACGGCUAUGGCGGCAGUCUUACCAACAGUGUCAACUCGCUGAAUGGAUCUAUAAAUGGCGAACUGGUCAAUGGCAAUAACACCAUCAAAAAGAACAAGAAAACGGUCAAGCUCUUCUGGAAGGAAGUGCGCGAGGACAUGAUACCGCAGGUGGUGGGCAAGACCAUUUGGGAUGAGCUGCCCGAUGCCAACGUGGACACCCAGAAGCUCGAACAUCUCUUUGAGUCGCGGGCCAAAGACUUGAUGACCAAGAAACAACAAGAGCUGAACAAGAGCAAAGAGAUCAUCGUGCUUGAUCACAAGCGCUCCAAUGCCAUCAACAUUGCGAUCACCAAGCUGCCACCUCCGCGGGCCAUUAAGACGGCCAUCCUCAAGAUGGACGCCACUGUGGUCACUCGCGAGGGAAUCGAUAAGCUACUCAAUAUGCUGCCCACCGACGAGGAGCGUGGCAAGAUCCAGGAGGCGCAGCUAUCCAAUCCAGAGCUGCCACUGGGCAGUGCCGAGCAGUUCCUGUUGACCCUGGCCUCCAUUUCGGAGCUGGAAGCGCGCCUGAAGUUGUGGGCCUUCCGUCUGGACUUUGACAACAGUGAGAAAGAGAUUGCGGAACCCCUGAUGGACCUCAAGCAAGGCAUUGAGAUCCUGCGUCAGAAUCGCACCUUCCGCAGCAUCCUCUCCACACUGCUAUCCGUGGGCAUCUUUCUGAAUGGAGCUCCCGUCAAGGGAUUCCAGAUCGAGUAUCUGGCAAAGGUGCCGGAAGUGAAGGACACGGUGCACAAGCACUCGCUGCUGCACCAUCUCUGCCACAUGGUCAUGGAGUCGAGCAGUGAUACCAGUGAUCUGUACUCCGAGAUUGGCCCCAUUACCCGAGCCUCCAAGGCGGACUUCACCGACUUGGCACACAAUCUCAAUCAGUUGGAGGCGGAGUGCAAGGCAUGCUGGGAUCGUCUGAAACUAAUUGCCAAACACGAUUGCCCGCCGCCGUUGAAGCAGAAGCUGGUGGACUUCCUGGCCGAUUGUGCCGAGCGCAUCAUCAUCCUGCAAAUCGUCCAUCGACGAGUGAUGAAUCGCUACCGGAAGUUCCUUUUGUGGCUGGGAAUGCCGCAGCACAGUGUCGCGGAAUCGCGUCCCAACGAAUUCUGCCGGACACUCUCCGAGUUCGCCCUGGAGUAUCGGACUACCCGGGAGCGGGUGCAGCAGCAGCUGGAGAAGAAGGCCAAUCACCGGGAGCGGAACAAGACGCGUGGAAAGCUGAUCAUCGAUAUGGCCAAGUUCAAGACCAAAGAUGACGUGGCCGAUGAUGAGUUGAAGAAACUUCUGGACACCUCGAGUGCCGACCAAGCCGAUGGCACACUCACCUGGCGGAGACGGCGAGCGGAACAGCUCCGCUCUCCAAUUACCCGCCAAAGCGAGGAACAGUUCACUGAUGGCGAUGAUGAGAUUUUGGAAUCCCUGGUGAAGACCGCCACGAAGGCUCCAGGAACCCGGACAACGCCGAGGGAACGGAAACGGACGCGCCACGCGGAUCGCAAAUCAUUGAAGCGCAGCCGCACGCGCGAAGGAUUCACAGUUGAAAGAGCACCAUCGCCGUAGAAACCGUACUGUUAACCGAAUCCGUAUCCGAAUCUGAAACCGAAACCGAAACCGUUGCCAAAAGAACAGCCAACUGUUUUUUAGGUUUUACCUUUUUUGUACGUCGCACGCUGAAAAACGGUCUGACCGAGGAGGAGAAACAGCACGUGGCUGCCUUAAUACAAACCUAUUAGGAUUAGGACAUACAAGUA